AUGCUCUGCGCUCCGCCGCAAACGCUGCGUCCGUCGCGGCCGCUCUUGCCCCCACCGCGAUGCUCCGGCAGCACGCAGCCGUCGCCGUCCUCGGCCGGAAACAUCCGGCGGCAGGUGCUCCAGCCCGAGGGCCGCGCGAAGCUGGACCCGCGCUCCGACCGCGACUUCUACGCGUUCCCGCGCCUCGUCAAGCACGUCGACGACGGCUUCCUCGCCACGCUCACCGACCUCUACCGGGAGCGGGUGCGCCCGGAGUCGGACGUGCUGGACCUCAUGAGCUCCUGGGUGAGCCACCUGCCCCCGGAGAUGCUGUUCCGGCGGGUCGUCGGCCACGGGCUCAACGCGCAGGAGCUGGCCAAGAACCCGCGCCUGGACUACUUCUUCGUCAGCGACCUCAACCGGGAGCAGCGGCUGGAGCUCGAGAGCGCCUCCUUCGACGCCGUGCUCUGCACCGUGAGCGUGCAGUACCUGCAAUCGCCUGAAAAAGUUUUCGCGGAGAUCCACCGGGUGCUGAAGCCGGGAGGGGUGUGCAUCGUGAGCUUCAGCAACCGGAUGUUCUACGAGAAGGCGAUCGGCGCGUGGCGGGAGGGGUCCGCCUACAGCCGCGUCCAGCUCGUGACGCAGUACUUCCAGUGCGUCGAAGGGUUCACGCAGCCGGAGGUGGUCCGGAGGCUGCCCCCCUCGGACGCCGGCGGAAAGUCGGGCUCGUCGCCGCUGGAGGCCCUGAUGCGACUGUUCGGGCAGGCGAACUCUGACCCGUUCUACGCGCUCAUCUCGUACAGAAACUUCAAGCCCAUGUGA
This 801-nucleotide ribosomal RNA is filed under the name Triticum aestivum (bread wheat). RNAcentral describes it as "partial small subunit ribosomal RNA". The record is from RNAcentral. Lineage: Eukaryota; Viridiplantae; Streptophyta; Magnoliopsida; Poales; Poaceae.